This 936-nucleotide long non-coding RNA is filed under the name Phoenix dactylifera (date palm). RNAcentral's name for it is "long non-coding RNA (PDAC_LNC016933)". Lineage: Eukaryota; Viridiplantae; Streptophyta; Magnoliopsida; Arecales; Arecaceae. The record is from RNAcentral.
AUUUUGGAAAUGAAGUAAAAGUAGGCAAGAGUUUAGGAGAAUUUAGAUGUAAAUCUAAAUUAAAAAAUUAAUUAACACAAGUCAUAUAGCCGGGUCAGGUUGUCAAGUUUUUUAAUGAAACAUAGCUACAUCCAAAUUCCAUCGAUAAGAAAUCGGAUCCUAUAUAUAGAAUCCGACUUUGAACAAACAUCGUUAUCAAAAACUUAAUUUGGAUCCUUAAGUUGAAUUGUCAUGUUUUUGGAUCCUUAAGCGUACCUAGUCGUCCCCAACACCAUCGCAGGAACCAUAACAACCCUCCCCACUGCCUGCUUAGGCCCGCACACGCCUCACCGCUCUCAAGCUCACCCACCGAUCACUUCACCAUUACUCCCACAGGAACACUACCUUCAUCCUCCUGUACGAGUUCCACCUCCCCUCUCGCCAAUUCCGCCCGGAUCCCGACUUGUCCCGGCCGGAGUAUGGGUUACGCUAUCUUUGUUCUUGAGUAUGGGCUAGCCACAGGAGGAGCAAAGGAGUUAAUAGAAAAGAAAAGAAAAUUAGAGAUGAAAAAGUCCCCCGGCCCCCCUGAAAAAAUAAACGUCAAUAAUAAUUGCUGUAAAAUAAAAUUGUGGGCCGGAUCUAGGAAAAAAAAAAAAAACAAAGAAAACUUCAAGCGUUUAGCUAAUAGUAAAGAUAGGAGCAUGUAUUGAAUUUCAUAAUGACUUGAACCUCCUCCUCACUUUGAGAUGCGCUUAUGCAAUGGAUAGGGAUAAAAAAAGUAACCAAAAAUUUAUAAGCAUGUUUCUUCAAGUUUAGGCAUUUACACAUGAACCUUAUAAAUUUAUAAAAUAUCGAUUAACAACUAAAAAGUCAAAUUGCUUGCACUAUAUCUAAACCAUUUAUCUAGAUCUUACUACCAUUAAUGAAACCAUAAAAAAAUUAAAAAUAUACUUAAUC